This 494-nucleotide ribosomal RNA is filed under the name uncultured bacterium. RNAcentral's name for it is "partial 16S ribosomal RNA". It matches the Rfam family "Bacterial small subunit ribosomal RNA", at positions 28 to 507 of the family's 1533-position model. The record is from RNAcentral.
GACGAACGCUGGCGGCGUGCUUAACACAUGCAAGUCGAACGGAAAGGCCUGUCCUUCCUUGUGUUGGACGGGUACUCGAGUGGCGAACGGGUGAGUAACACGUGAGUGAUCUGCCCCCAACUUGGGUAUAAGCCUGGGAAACUGGGUCUAAUUCCCGAUAGGACUGCAGGGUGGUGCCUGUGGUGGAAAACGAUUUUCUAGUGGUUGGGGAUGAGCUCGCGGCCUAUCAGCUUGUUGGUGGGGUACUGGCCUACCAAGGCGGCGACGGGUAGCCGGCCUGAGAGGGUGGACGGCCACAUUGGGACUGGGAUACGGCCCAGACUCCUACGGGAGGCAGCAGUGGGGAAUAUUGCACAAUGGGCGGAAGCCUGAUGCAGCGACGCCGCGUGGGGGAUGACGGCCUUCGGGUUGUAAACUCCUUUCGACCGCGAGGAAGCCGCCUGGUUGGAAGGGUGGUGACGGUAGUGGUAGAAGAAGCACUGGCUAACUACGUG